Molecule: ribosomal RNA, 265 nt
Filed under: uncultured archaeon
Lineage: Archaea
Description: partial 16S ribosomal RNA
Rfam family: Archaeal small subunit ribosomal RNA
Source: RNAcentral
AGACGUCUACAUUAGAUACCCCCGUAGUCCCAGCCGUAAACUAUGCGCGUUAGGUGUAUCGGUGACCACGAGUUACCGAGGUGCCGAAGGGAAACCGUGAAACGUGCCGCCUGGGAAGUACGGUCGCAAGGCUGAAACUUAAAGGAAUUGGCGGGGGAGCACCACAACAGGUGGAGCCUGCGGUUUAAUUGGACUCAACGCCGGGAAGCUCACCGGAUAAGACAGCGGAAUGAUUGCCGGGCUGAAGACUCUGCAUGACUAGCUG